The sequence is a ribosomal RNA, 162 nucleotides long. It matches the Rfam family "Bacterial large subunit ribosomal RNA", at positions 2761 to 2925 of the family's 2925-position model.
GGGAUAAGCGCUGAAAGCAUCUAAGUGCGAAGCCCCCCACAAGAAAAGAUUUCCUCCAGUAAUGGUAAGACUCGUGAGAGACUAUCACGUUGAUAGGCCUCAGGUGUAAGUGCAGUAAUGUAUUUAGCUGAGAGGUACUAAUAGGUCGAAUGCUUGACCAAU